This 560-nucleotide ribosomal RNA is filed under the name Eubulus sp. ARC3957. RNAcentral describes it as "partial 16S ribosomal RNA". It matches the Rfam family "Bacterial large subunit ribosomal RNA", at positions 1804 to 2632 of the family's 2925-position model. Lineage: Eukaryota; Metazoa; Arthropoda; Insecta; Coleoptera; Curculionidae. The record is from RNAcentral.
UUAUUAAAAACAUGGCUUUUUGAUAAUAAUUUAAGGUCUGACCUGCCCUAUGAAGUAAAAUUUAAAUGGCUGCGGUAUAUUGACCGUGCAAAGGUAGCAUAAUCAUUAGUUUUUUAAUUGAAAGCUGGAAUGAAAGGUUUGAUGAGAAAAUUACUGUCUCUAUUUAAAUUUUUUAGAAUUUUAUUUUUAAGUUAAAAAGCUUAAAUUUAUAUUGAAGACGAGAAGACCCUAUAGAGUUUUAUAAUUGUUUAUAUAUUUGAAGUGUAAGUAUAUAAUGGUUAGUAUAAAAAUAAUUAUUUGGUUGGGGUGAUAGAAAAAUUAAAUUAACUUUUUUUGUAAAAAAACAUUAAUAUUUGAGUAUUUGAUCCUUUAUAUUGAUUAUAAGAUUAAAUUACCUUAGGGAUAACAGCGUAAUUUUUUUUAAGAGUUCAAAUCAAAAAAAAAGAUUGCGACCUCGAUGUUGGAUUAAAAUUAAAAAUUGGUGUAGAAGCUAGUUAGUUAAGUCUGUUCGACUUUUAAAAUUUUACAUGAUCUGAGUUUAAACCGGUGUAAGCCAGGUC